ACGGAAGGCAGCAGUGAGGAAUAUUGGUCAAUGGACGAGAGUCUGAACCAGCCAAGUAGCGUGCAGGAUGACGGCCCUAUGGGUUGUAAACUGCUUUUGUACGGGAAUAAAGUGACCUACGUGUAGGUUUUUGCAUGUACCGUAAGAAUAAGGACCGGCUAAUUCCGUGCCAGCAGCCGCGGUAAUACGGAAGGUCCGGGCGUUAUCCGGAUUUAUUGGGUUUAAAGGGAGCGUAGGCCGUGCUUUAAGCGUGUUGUGAAAUGUAGGCGCCCAACGUCUGCACUGCAGCGCGAACUGGAGCACUUGAGUACGCAGGAAGUAGGCGGAAUUCGUCGUGUAGCGGUGAAAUGCUUAGAUAUGUCACAGAACACCGAUUGCGAAGGCAGCUGACUAAUCCGCAACUGACGCUCAGGCACGAAAGCGUGGGGAUCGAACAGGAUUAGAUACCCUGGUA
This 454-nucleotide ribosomal RNA is filed under the name uncultured Prevotella sp. Its description in RNAcentral is "partial 16S ribosomal RNA". It matches the Rfam family "Bacterial small subunit ribosomal RNA", at positions 341 to 792 of the family's 1533-position model. The record is from RNAcentral. Lineage: Bacteria; Pseudomonadati; Bacteroidota; Bacteroidia; Bacteroidales; Prevotellaceae.